CAGUCGCCACGGGAAUACAGAGGGUGCGAGCGUUAAUCGGAUUUACUGGGCGUAAAGCGUGCGUAGGCGGCUUCUUAAGUCGGAUGUGAAAUCCCUGAGCUUAACUUAGGAAUUGCAUUCGAUACUGGGAAGCUAGAGUAUGGGAGAGGAUGGUAGAAUUCCAGGUGUAGCGGUGAAAUGCGUAGAGAUCUGGAGGAAUACCGAUGGCGAAGGCAGCCAUCUGGCCUAAUACUGACGCUGAGGUACGAAAGCAUGGGGAGCAAACAGGAUUAGAUACCCGUGUAGUCCCUGUCUUUUAUAA
Molecule: ribosomal RNA, 301 nt
Filed under: uncultured bacterium
Lineage: Bacteria
Description: partial 16S ribosomal RNA
Rfam family: Bacterial small subunit ribosomal RNA
Source: RNAcentral